This 554-nucleotide long non-coding RNA is filed under the name Homo sapiens (human). RNAcentral describes it as "HSALNT0194955". Lineage: Eukaryota; Metazoa; Chordata; Mammalia; Primates; Hominidae. The record is from RNAcentral.
GAGACGAUGGAAGCAAAGAUCAUUCAACUCGGAGCUCCUGUAUCUUCACUGCCUGGGAUGGUUCAGGUGAGCCCGGUGGGGUCGGGGAGGGUAUGCCAUGGUAUUGGGGUCUUACCACCUCACCAUGGCUGCUUUACCUUGAGGUCUUCGAUCAGUGGGGAGGGGCUCCACCUGGCUGCUGAGGCCUGGUGACUCUGCAGCUCUGGCUCUGCAGGGUACACACGUUGCUCCAUGAAGUGCUUCAGCCGGUGAUACAGCUCUCUGACAGGUGGAGAGAGGCUCUCUGGAGAGAUAACCAGACCUCCCCUUGAGGUAUGAGCUGGGGAAGCUUCUGGAACGGAGCUAUAACUCCUGCUGCCUGUGGGGCACCACUGGGACUGGGGCCUGGCCCACGUGUGGUAGGACCUUGUUAACGGAUUUGUGAAGGGCAUCUCUUUGAAAACCCGGAACCCUUCUUUGACUGCGAAAUCCCACGCCAGGUUAGACACAAAUUCGGUCAGCUUUCCAGUUUGUUCCGCAGCCUGCAGAUCCACACUGUGAAUUUUGCACAGGAC